AUUCAUGAAAUCAUAAUUGGAAGAAAUCAAGUCAUAUAAAACAUAUGAUCAUGGCUUCGAAUUCCCCUCUAACUAUAAAGAAAUUAGUUCCUCAUGUUCGCAAAUAAACAAAGAUAAAUAAAUUUAAACAUUGAAACAAAGAUAGAAAACACCUAGAAACGCUCCGACAAUCCAACGUCUUGAAUGGCAUACACGGCUCCAAGUUGUCUUCCUUCUUCUCCUUGCAAACUCACGGCACAAUGAGGGAUAAUUGGUGAAUGGUGUAGUGAAAAUCUGGUAGAGGGUGGUUAAUGAAAGGGUGCGGCAAGGCCUUGUAUUUAUAGGCUGAAAAUCCCAUCUCCUAGGUAGCAAAGGACAAGGUUUUAA
RNAcentral lists this long non-coding RNA (366 nucleotides) under Malus domestica (apple). RNAcentral describes it as "long non-coding RNA (MDOM_LNC003776)". The record is from RNAcentral. Lineage: Eukaryota; Viridiplantae; Streptophyta; Magnoliopsida; Rosales; Rosaceae.